UACGGGGGGGGCAAGCGUUGUUCGGAAUUACUGGGCGUAAAGGGCUCGUAGGCGGCCAACUAAGUCGGACGUGAAAUCCCUCGGCUUAACCGGGGAACUGCGUCCGAUACUGGAUGGCUGGAGGUUGGGAGAGGGAUGCGGAAUUCCAGGUGUAGCGGUGAAAUGCGUAGAUAUCGAGAGGAACACCAGUGGCGCAAGCGGCUGACUGGCCGAGACCUGACGCUGAGACACGACGGCGUGGGGAGCAAACCGG
This 253-nucleotide ribosomal RNA is filed under the name uncultured bacterium. RNAcentral describes it as "partial 16S ribosomal RNA". It matches the Rfam family "Bacterial small subunit ribosomal RNA", at positions 524 to 776 of the family's 1533-position model. The record is from RNAcentral.